This 2433-nucleotide long non-coding RNA is filed under the name Lathyrus oleraceus (garden pea). RNAcentral describes it as "Pisum sativum (pea) long non-coding RNA (PSAT_LNC041265)". Lineage: Eukaryota; Viridiplantae; Streptophyta; Magnoliopsida; Fabales; Fabaceae. The record is from RNAcentral.
AAUUUAAUAGAAUUGUUGGAAUGAUAAAAAUGAUGAUGUUGAACCCAUGAAAGUUGAUUGAAUUGUGGGAAUAAAUGAAAAUAUUGUUGUUAAAACCAAGAAAUUUGAUUGAAUUAUGUGAAUGAUGAAAAUUUUGUUGUUAAACCCAUAAAAUUUGAUUGAAUUGUGUGAAUGAUGAAAAUGUUGUUGUUAAACCCAUGAAAUUAGAUUGAAUUGUGGGAAUGAUAAAAAUGAUGAUGUUAAACUCAUGAAAUUUGAUUGAAUUGUGUGAGUGAUGAAAAUGAUGAUGUUAAACCCAUGAAAUUGGAUUGAAUUGUGGGAAUGAUGAAAAAGAUGGUGUUAAACCCAUGAAAUUUGAUUGAAUUUGUGGAAUGAUGAAAAUGUUGAUGCUAAACCCAUGAAACUUGAUUGAAUGGUAGGUAUGAUGAAAAUGUUGAUGUUAAACCCAUGAAAUUUGAUUGAAUUGUGGUAAUGAUAUAAAUGAUGAUGUUAAACCCAUGAAAUUUGAUUGAAUUGUGGGAAUGAUGAAAAAGAUGAUGUUAAACCCAUAAAAUUUGAUUGAAUUAUUUGCAUUAUGAAAAUGUUGUUGUUAAACCCAUGAAAUUUUAUUGAGUGGUAGGCAUGAUGAAAAUGUUGAUGUUAAACCCAUGAAAUUUGAUUGAAUUGUGGGAAAGAUAAAAAUGAUGAUGUUAAACUCAUGAAAUUUGAUUGAAUUAUGGGAAUGAUGAAAAUGAUGAUGUUAAACCCAUGAAAUUUGAUUGAAUUGUGGGAAUGAUGAAAAUGUUGAUGUUAAACCCAUGAAAUUUGAUUGAAUUGUGGGAAUGAUGAAAAUGUUGAUGUUAAACCCAUGAAAUUUGAUUGAAUUGUGGGAAUGAUGAAAAUGUUGAUGUUAAACCCAUGAAAUUUGAUUGAAUUGUGGGAAUUAUAGAAAUGAUGAUGUUAAACCCAUGAAAUUUGAUUGAAUUGUGGGAAUGAUGAAAAUGUUGAUGUUAAACCCAUGAAAUUUGAUUGAAUUGUGGGAAUGAUGAAAAUGUUGAUGUUAAACCCAUGAAAUUUGAUUGAAUUGUGGGAAUGAUGAAAAUGUUGAUGUUAAACCCAUGAAAUUUGAUUGAAUUGUGGGAAUGAUGAAAAUGUUGAUGUUAAACCCAUGAAAUUUGAUUGAAUUGUGGGAAUGAUGAAAAUGUUGAUGUUAAACCCAUGAAAUUUGAUUGAAUUGUGGGAAUGAUGAAAAUGUUGAUGUUAAACCCAUGAAAUUUGAUUGAAUUGUGGGAAUGAUGAAAAUGUUGAUGUUAAACCCAUGAAAUUUGAUUGAAUUGUGGGAAUGAUGAAAAUGUUGAUGUUAAACCCAUGAAAUUUGAUUGAAUUGUGGGAAUGAUGAAAAUGUUGAUGUUAAACCCAUGAAAUUUGAUUGAAUUGUGGGAAUGAUGAAAAUGUUGAUGUUAAACCCAUGAAAUUUGAUUGAAUUGUGGGAAUGAUGAAAAUGUUGAUGUUAAACCCAUGAAAUUUGAUUGAAUUGUGGGAAUGAUGAAAAUGUUGAUGUUAAACCCAUGAAAUUUGAUUGAAUUGUGGGAAUGAUGGAAAUGAUGAUGUUAAACCCAUGAAAUUUGAUUGAAUUGUGGGAAUGAUGAAAAUGUUGAUGUUAAACCCAUGAAAUUUGAUUGAAUUGUGGGAAUGAUGAAAAUGAUGAUGUUAAACCCAUGAAAUUUGAUUGAAUUGUGGGAAUGAUGAAAAUGUUGAUGUUAAACCCAUUAAAUUUGAUUGAAUUGUGGGAAUGAUGAAAAUGUUGUUAUUAAACCCAUGAAAUUUGAUUGAAUUGUGUGAAUGAUGAAAAUAUUGUUGUUAAACCUUUAAAAUUUGAUUGAAUUGUGUGAAUGAUGAAAACGUUGUUGUUAACCAUAUGAAAUUUGAUUGAAUUGUGAAAAUGAUGAAAUGUUGAUGUUAAACCCAUGAAAUUGGAUUGAAUUCUGCGAAUGAUGAAAAUGUUGAUUUUAAACCCAUGAAAUUUGAUUGAGUUGUUGGAAUGAUAAAAAUGAUCAUGUUAAACCUAUGAAAGUUGAUUGAAUUGUGGGAAUAAAUGAAAAUAUUGUUGUUAAAACCAAGAAAUUUGAUUGAAUUAUGUGAAUGAUGAAAAUUUUGUUGUUAAACCCAUAAAUUUUGAUUGAAUUGUGUGAAUGAUGAAAAUGUUGUUGUUAAACCCAUGAAAUUAGAUUGAAUUGUGGGAAUGAUAAAAAUGAUGAUGUUAAACCCAUGAAAUUUGAUUGAAUUGUGGGAAUGAUGAAAAAUAUGGUGUUAAACCCAUGAAAUUUGAUUGAAUUUGUGGAAUCAUGAAAAUGUUGAUGCUAAACCCAUGAAAUUUGAUUGAAUGGUAGGCAUGAUGAAAAUGUUGAUGUUAAACCCAUGAAAUUUGGUUGAAUUGUGGUAAUGAUAUAAAUG